Molecule: ribosomal RNA, 433 nt
Filed under: uncultured bacterium
Lineage: Bacteria
Description: partial 16S ribosomal RNA
Rfam family: Bacterial small subunit ribosomal RNA
Source: RNAcentral
AACGAACGCUGGCGGCAUGCCUAACACAUGCAAGUCGAACGAGACCUUCGGGUCUAUUGGCCCACGGGUGCGUAACGCGUGGGAACCUGCCCUUAGGUUCGGAAUAACUCUCCGAAAGGGGUGCUAAUACCGGAUAAUGUCUCCGGACCAAAGAUUUAUCGCCUUUGGAUGGGCCCGCGUUGGAUUAGCUUGUUGGUAGGGUAAAAGCCUACCAAGGCGACGAUCCAUAGCUGGUCUGAGAGGAUGAGCAGCCACACUGGGACUGGGACACGGCCCAGACUCCUACGGGAGGGAGCAGUGGGGAAUAUUGGACCAUGGGGGAAAGCCUGAUGCAGCUAUGCCGCGUGAGUGAUGAAGGCCUUAGGGUUGUAAAGCUCUUUUAACCGGGAUGAUAAUGACAGUACCGGGAGAAUAAGCUCCGGCUAACUCCGUG